This 1023-nucleotide long non-coding RNA is filed under the name Pogona vitticeps (central bearded dragon). RNAcentral describes it as "lncRNA (ENSPVIG00000021154.1)". The record is from RNAcentral. Lineage: Eukaryota; Metazoa; Chordata; Lepidosauria; Squamata; Agamidae.
UCCCCCCCUUAAACCCCGCCCCCUAAAACCAAACAAACCUUCAGGGAGUUUCCCACCCUUCCUGUGGAAUUAAGAUGUGUUCUGGGCAUCCUUGAUGGAGAGUCCGGCAGAAGACCUUCGUAGCAUCCAGGUGACCACGUGGAAGCAUUUCCCCUUUGCCUCGGGGACGGUUCCAUAGCCUCCCAGCUGUGAUUUCCCAUCAUCUGCUUUGCCUUGUCAAGGCUGCAGCCGCAGGGGUGCCCAAGGUCAUUCGCUGGCCCUUUAGCACGGUCGCACCCCUGAAGGCCAGCCUCGCAGGAGUGGUUUCCUCUGGACGGUCCAAAGACCUGGACACAGUCCGCAGCUUAGCUUCAAAGGCCCCAUCCCAUACCCUUCCGUUCCCACUUUAUCUUCUUUUUUUUUCUUGUAUAUGAAAAAAGGACAACCCCUGCUCAUUGAGGGUUUUGGAAGCGGCCUCAAGCAGGAUGGGUCGAGCUCUCUCUCGACUUCCAAGGAAUCCCAUCUAGCAGCUUCUGUGGGCAAAGGGAGAAUAGUUGGAGGGGCCCUUCCUUUCGGUCCAAAUCCUCCCCAGAACCCGGCCUCAGGAAAGGCCACCUGACCCUCUGCUCCCUUCAUGCCUUUCCCUUAGGAGCCCUCCUCCAGAGCACCCCAGUCACAGGGCUAGAAGAAAGAACGCUGCAGCUUCUUCUGACCGGGCUCGUGCCGUUGCAGGGGGACGCGGGCACGAACCUGGAAUUGGCAGUGGACGCUCUGGAGGACCACAUCCGUCGAAAGUGGGCACAGGUUCGGGACGACGCCACAAGUGGAAGCCGCAUCACUCAGAAUUCAGCCACAUGGUACCGGUGGCUACUUGGAUUUUGCCGGCACUAAAUGCCAUCCAUCGAGAGCAAAGGCUUCACCCCAUGAAAGAGAACUUCUACAGCCGGGCAUUCUGGGCAACAACAGCUGCAUCAUCGGCAAAGAGCCAGUCCUGCAUGCAUUUCAGCUGGACUUUGCUUUCCGCUCUCAAUCUAGAAACAUUAA